This is a transfer RNA of 72 nucleotides. It matches the Rfam family "tRNA". From Rfam's summary of the family: Transfer RNA (tRNA) molecules are approximately 80 nucleotides in length. Their secondary structure includes four short double-helical elements and three loops (D, anti-codon, and T loops).
GCCCUCGUGGUGAAAUGGAUAUCACGGCAGGCUUCGGACCUGCUAUUGGGGGUUCGAAUCCCUCCGAGGGCG